UUAUAGGAAGAGCGUCUUGUUGAAUCAUUGAGCUUUAUAUUAAAUAUGUACGACAGUGACCUCCUGAUGCAGUUUGUCAUCCAUCUACCUCUGCUCUGACAUCCUCAAGGAUGAAGCUAAUACUACAGCCGUGAUUGAUUGCCGUUGUCACACCUCCAGAGCUCCACGCCCCGACGGUUGUGUUUCAUGCAGCAAGAAAGAAAUCGCAUCAGUGGAAACAAUGGCAAUUCUCUGAAAUCAAACAACAACGGCAGCCGCUGUAACAUCUUGUCCUUCACCUGGUUUGGAUUUUCACGGCUCACCGCCCAACAAAUACACGGACUUCAGAGGAUAAGAUGUAAAAUCACCGCACAAUCUGGCUGUGUUUAUCACGUCACAUCAGGUGUUCUGGUCUUUUCUAGGACAAUGGAGGUGUCAGAGGAUGACAUGCAGAGAUGUGUGAUGAAUUCUUGGAAUUUGCAUUCCCCUUUAUAUCUGCGCUAUCCUUAGCAAAGAACAGCCCAGUGUAACCAUGGCAACAGCAGCAUCCUCUGAGUGAGCAUCAUUCCCUCUUUCAUCUGUAAACAUGAUGAUUGUGGUUUGUAUGUGCUCACCAUAUUGCUCAUAUUGUGCUCUGCACAGAUUGCUUUACAGAUGUUUAAGCAAAAAAUGUAAUUAUUACAAAACGUUUUCACCAUAUGUCUUUACUGAUUAUGCCAUUCUCAUGUGCUGUCAUAAAAAUAUCACUCAUUGAAAUCCUAUCACAGACUGUGCCUCUGUGCUCUUAAAGGGAUAGUUCACCCAAAAAUUGAAAUUCUGUCAUUAUUUACUCACUCACCUUUAUGUCAUUUAAACCUCUAUAAUUUUCAUUCUUAAGCAGAACACAAAAGAUGUUUAGAAAAACCUUUUAAAUCAAGUCAAAUUUAUUUGUGAUGCACUUUUCUAAAUUGUUGAUAUUGAUGUUUAUAAUUUCUUCAUUUCAUCAUGCCUAAUAGUUGCAUUAAGCAGAUGGGCGAUAUUAUAGUGGACAUUUUGUGAUGACACAAGCAGUCAAGCCACUGACAUUUGCCAUAUAGUAUAUAUUGCCCUCCGGGAGUAUACUACAUAUAUACUUAUAUAUCCAAAGAUUUAUAAUGAGCUGGAUGAUAAUAUAGUUUUGUCAAA
This is a long non-coding RNA of Cyprinus carpio (common carp), 1143 nucleotides long. NCBI's taxonomy places the organism in Eukaryota, Metazoa, Chordata, Actinopteri, Cypriniformes, Cyprinidae. The record is from Ensembl.